ACUUUUGCCUCUUUUAUCAUUUUCAUAAUCUCAACAAAAGAAAAAAGAAAGCUUCCAAUCUCAUUUUAUCUCCAUUACUUUCUACACCAAAAUUGGGUCCCACAACCCGGUUCUUUGUCUAGAGGAUAGCAGUUGAGUACUAGUGGUGGUCUCGGGUAGAAUUGGUAAGAAGACAUCAAACCUUUUGAAAGCUUCAAAGGUAAUACUUCUUAAAACCCUAAUUUGAUUAGUUUAUGGUUACAUGUUAAUUGUGGCAAUUAGGGUAGAAAUUCGAUUCUUUUUCCGCUGUGCAUGACUUAGUUCUAUCAUGUGGUAUCAGAGCAUGCUUCAUUUUUACCCAAUUGCAUGUGGUGGGUUCAAAUUUAUUAGAUAAAUUUUGGUUUGAACUAAAAUGGAUAUAUUAUGAUUUUGGCUCUAGAUUAAGUGUUUUUGUUCUAAUUAUUGUAAUUAGCCUUGUUAAUGGCUUAUUUUUAUUGUUGCAAAGUGUUUGUAAUUUUUAAAAAAAUAAAAAAAGUCAUUAGAGUUGAAGCUAGGCUGUAAUUAGUUCAACCGGGUGAGAGAAUUGAAAAAAAAAAAAAAAGAAGGUCACAGACCCGAAAACCCGGUUUUGACCCCGCUUCGCGACCCGCACGCAGCGCCGCAUGCCCGCGCGCCCUCCUGCGCCGCGCGCCCUCCUGCGUCCGCACGCGCCCGCGCGCCCUCCUGCGGCCGCGCGCCCGCGCCGCCGCCGGCGCCUCCUGCGCCCGCGCGCGCCGCAUGCGCCCGCGCGCCCGCAUGCGCCAGCGCCCCUGCCGCGCCCGCAUGCGCCCGCGCGCGCCAUGCGCCCGCGCGCGCCGCCGCCGCCGCGCGCUGCCUUCGCACGACCCGUGUGCGCCUGGGCCGGUUCAAGCCAAUAAAUUUUGGUUUUUUGGGCCGGUUCAAGCGGUUCGGUUGGUUUUUUAGCCGGUUCGAAAUUUUUGGGAGUGGUUCUGUACUACACCAAAUUAAUUAUGUAAUAAUUUAGCACUUAGCUUAAUUUAGGAGCCAAAAAUCAGUCCAUUUUAGGGUGUUUUUUUUAUUUAUGCAUGUGAUGUAUGAUUAAAUUACUUUAAAUUUGUAUGUGCAUUUUGAAUGUCAUAUAGAUUUAAAAUCCCACCAUAGGUUAACAUGUUCAUGCAUUAAAAUGUAUGAUAUAAAGGUUAUAUUGUAUUGUAUGCAUGUUAAUUGAUUAAUAUGGAAAUUAAUUAAUAUGAUUAAUUAAUUAUUUAAUUAAUUAAGUUAUUCUUGAUUAAAUAUGAUUUAAUCAAAUUAAUUAAUUAUUGUUUGAUUUAAUUUAAUUAAAUAUGAUUUAAUUAAAGUUAAAUAAAUUAAAAUCCAUAUUAAUUGAUUGUUUUUAUUAUAUAUUGAUAAAAUGAUUGAUUAAGUUUAAAAUUUUUAUAAGUGUUAUAAAAUAAAUUAGACUUUUAAAAUCAAUAACAAAGAUUAAAUGCAUGCUCACUUAGGUUAAACAUAUCUUCCAUUUUUCAUAGAAAUAGGUCGAUAUCUUGUAAAACUGGUUACAAAAGGCUCACCUGGUUCAAUCUUGUCAACAAGUCAGAUAAGAUGACUAAGGUUGGAGGUUCUUAAGUUGACGGUUUACGGAACACCUCCUACCUGGAGAUCGUAAUCAGUUCUUGAGCCUAGUUAACCUAGUUUUAUGAGCAUUCGUGAGAGGUGUGAGGUAAUAAAAAUGGUUUUUCACCUAGACAUCAUAGGUUAAAAUCCUGUAUAAUGGUUAUACUUGGAUGUUUUAUCUAGACUUAAGAUUUGUUUAAGUUAGCCUAAAUAUAAAUCUUGAAGUUUGGAUUACCCUAAUUUUUUCUCUAGAACACUUCAACUAGAGAAAAAUAAUGUAUUUUAGCUCUAGUGUCCCUAAGAGUUCACACCGUGAGGUCCAUGCAGGGCUUUGUGCCGUGCAUAGGAGCGGCCUCCCUUCGGAGAGUGUUUGCAUGGAUCAAAAUCAAGGUGAAUAGGGGAAGUAGUUCAUAGUAAGUGGGUGAGGGAUUUGUGACAGCACAUCCCACGGUCUCUUCCAUUAGGUCGCACCGUGAGAUUUCUAUAAUAUGCCUGCUUGUCUGCCCUGGAGCGACGUUCCCUUCGGAGGGUUGUAUUAUAGGAUUCGGAACACCGCGAACUCCAAAACUGGAUAGGAUUUCUUAGAUUAGUUUUCAUAAAUGAUUCUAAUCUAUAAAAUCUGAAAAUGGUGGGUAACACUUACAAGAAUUACUAAGUUGUUAGUAUAUUCUUGACUAAAAGUAGCGAUAACUAAGUGCUAUAAAGAAUAAAGAGUUAUUCUUGAGAUAGCAUCUAGUCAAGAUUGUCUUGGUUCAAAGGAGGAAUAAUCAACUACCCUUCGGAGAAGGUUGUUCUAAACCUUUGAAAUAUUGUUGCAAAAUACAAAUAAUGAAAGGGUACAUUAUUAGUAAUUGCUAAAUUAGAUUGGAUAUUUUUUUAUGAUUAUAGUUUUUUCUUAAAAAGAAUAUGUUUGUUUUUCAGCAUGAAUAGCUCAAUAGUUCAACUUUUAGCUUCCGAAAAACUUAAUGGCGAUAAUUAUGCGGCUUGGAAAUCAAAUCUUAACACAAUACUAGUGGUUGACGAUUUAAGAUUUGUCUUAACUGAGGAAUGUCCUCAAAACCCUGCCUCUAAUGCUAACCGAACUAGUCGGGAUGCAUAUGAUCGAUGGAUAAAAAGCUAAUGAAAAAGCCCGUGUUUACAUUCUUGCCAGCAUGUCUGAUGUAUUGGCAAAGAAACAUGAAUCCUUAGCCACGGCUAAAGAGAUUAUGGAUUCAUUAAGGGGAAUGUUUGGGCAACCAGAAUGGUCCUUAAGACACGAGGCAGUCAAAUACAUUUACACUAAGCGUAUGAAGGAAGGGACCUCUGUUAGAGAACAUGUUCUGGACAUGAUGAUGCACUUCAACAUCGCUGAAGUGAAUGGUGGUCCCAUCGAAGAGGUUAAUCAAGUUAGUUUUAUCUUAGAAUCUCUUCCGAAGAGCUUCAUUCCAUUCCAAACGAAUGCGUCUUUGAACAAGAUAGAAUUUAACUUGACAACCCUUCUGAAUGAACUCCAGCGAUUCCAAAACCUAACUAUGGGUAAAGGAAAACAAGUGGAAGCAAAUGUUGCUACCACAAAAAGAAAAUUUAUAAGAGGAUCGUCCUCUAAAACCAAAGCUGGACCCUCAAAACCUAAUGCUCAAAUAAAAAAGAAGGGAAAGGGAAAGACUCCCAAACAGAACAAGGGUAAGAAAGGUGCAGAAAAAGGUAAGUGUUACCAUUGUGGCCAAAACGGGCACUGGUUAAGAAACUGCCCAAAAUACCUUGCAGAAAAAAAGGCAGAGAAGGAAACACAAGGUAAAUAUGAUUUACUAGUUGUAGAAACAUGUUUAGUGGAAUAUGAAAAUUCUACCUGGAUACUAGAUUCAGGAGCCACUAACCAUAUUUGCUUCUCAUUUCAGGAAAAUAGUUCUUGGAAAAAGCUUUCAGAAGGUGAGAUCACUCUCAAGGUUGGAACAGGAGAGAUGGUCUCAGCUUCAGCAGUGGGAGUUUUAAAGUUGUUUUUUAGAGAUAGAUAUGUCAUACUUAAGAAUGUCUUAUAUGUACCUCAAAUGAAAAGAAAUUUAAUAUCUAUCUCUUGUAUUUUGGAACAAAUGUAUAGAAUAUCUUUUGAAAUUAAUGAAGCGUUCGUUUUCUAUAAAGGUAUUCUAGUUUGUUCUGCUAUACUUGAAGACAACUUAUAUAAGUUAAGACCAACUAGAGCAAAUUUUGUCUUAAAUACUGAAAUAUUCAGAACAGCUGAAAACUCAGAAUAAAAGACAAAAAGUUUCUUCUAAUGCCUAUUUAUGGCACUUAAGACUUGGUCACAUAAAUCUCAAUAGGAUUGGGAGAUUGGUUAAAAGUGGGCUUCUAAGUCCGUUAGAAGAUAACUCUUUACCUCCUUGUGAAUCUUGUCUUGAAGGAAAAAUGACCAAGAGAUCUUUUUACUGGAAAAGGUCUAAGAGCCAAAGGACCCUUAGAGCUCGUACAUUCGGACCUUUGUGGACCAAUGAAUGUCAAAACUCGAGGUGGAUAUGAAUUUUUCAUUAGCUUCAUUGAUGAUUAUUCAAGGUAUGGUCAUAUUUACCUAAUACAUCAUAAGUCUAAUAGUCUUGAAAAGUUCAAAGAAUAUAAGGCUGAAGUAGAAAACGAAUUAGGUAAAACAAUAAAAAUACUUCGAUCAGAUCGAGGUGGAGAGUAUAUGGACUUACGAUUCCGAGACUAUUUAAUAGAAAAUGGAAUCCAGUCACAACUCUCUGCACCUAGUACACCUCAACAGAACGGUGUAUCAGAAAGAAGAAACUGGACCUUGUUAGACAUGGUUCGCUCUAUGAUGAGUUUUUCUCAGAUGUCAGAUUCUUUUUGGGGAUAUGCUUUAGAAACAGCUGCUUAUAUUUUGAAUAAUGUUCCCUCUAAAAGUGUUUCAGAAACACCUUAUGAGCUAUGGAAAGGGCGUAAAUGCAGUUUACGUCAUUUUAAAAUUUGGGGUUGUCCAGCACAUGUGUUGGUACAAAAUCCAAAGAAAUUGGAACAUCGUUCAAAAUUAUGCUUUUUUAUAGGUUAUCCAAAAGAAUCAAGAGGUGGUUUGUUUUAUGAUCCUCAAGAAAAUAAAAUACCACAUCAGGGAUCAUCAACCUCGUAGUAAACUAGUAUUUAAAGAAAUUUCCAAAAGUGCUAUAGAUAAAACCUAGUUCAUCCACUAAAGUAGUUGAUAAGACUAGGAAAUCUGGUCAAUCACAUCCUUCUCAACAGUUGAGAGAGCCUCGACGUAGUGGGAGGGUUGUUCAUCAGCCUGAUCGCUAUUUGGGUUUAAUUGAAACUCAAGUCGUCAUACCUGACGAUGGCAUAGAGGAUCCAUUAACCUAUAAACAGGCAAUGAAAGAUGUAGAUCGUGACCAAUGGAUCAAAGCCAUGGACCUCGAAAUGGAGUCUAUGUACUUUAAUUCUUUCUAGACUCUAGUAGAUCAACCAAAUGACGUAAAACCUAUUGGUUGUAAAUGGAUCUACAAGAGAAAACGAGACCAUGCCGGUAAAGUACAGACUUUUAAGGCUCGACUUGUGGCAAAGGGUUAUACCUAGAGAGAGGGAGUAGACUAGAGGAAACUUUCUCUCCCGUUGCCAUGUUAAAGUCAAUUAGAAUACUCUUAUCCAUCGCCACUUUUUAUGAUUAUGAAAUUUGGCAGAUGGAUGUCAAGACAGCUUUUUUGAACGGUAAUCUUGAAAAGAGUAUCUAUAUGUCUCAACCAGAGGGGUUUAUAAAACAAGAUCAAGAACAAAAGGUUUGUAAGCUUAAAAAAUCCAUUUAUGGAUUAAAACAAGCUUCUAGAUCCUGGAAUAUAAGAUUUGAUAUUGCGAUCAAAAUCUUAUGGCUUUGAACAAAAUGUUGACGAGCCUUGUGUUUACAAAAGGUCGUCAAUUCCAUUAUAGCAUUUUUUAGUCUUAUAUGUAGAUGAUAUUCUACUUAUUGGAAAUGACGUAGGAUAUCUUACUGAUAUCAAGAAAUGGCUAGCUAUGCAAUUUCAAAUGAAAGAUCUGGGAGAUGCACAAUACGUUCUCGGAAUCAAAUUGUUCGAAACCGUAAGAACAAAACACUAGCCAUGUCUCAAGCAUCUUACAUAGACAAAAUGUUGUCUAGAUAUAAAAUGCAGAAUUCCAAAAAGGGUCUGCUGCCGUACAGAUAUGGAAUUCAUUUGUCAAAGGAACAAUGUCCUAAGACACCUCAAAAAGUUGAGGAUAUGAGAAAUAUUCCCUAUGCUUCCACUGUUGGAAGUUUAAUGUAUGCAAUGUUAUGUACUAGACCUGACAUUUGCUACUCAGUAGGGAUGGUCAGUAGGAAUCAAUCCAAUCAUGGACGUGAUCACUAGACAGCCGUUAAAAACAUUCUACAUGCUCAUGUAUCGUACAAAGGAUAUGAUCCUUACUGGAUACACUGAUUCGGAUUUCCAAACUAAUAAAGAUGUUAGAAAGUCUACAUCAGAAUCAGUAUUUACUCUAAAUGGAGGAGCAGUAGUUUGGAGAAGCAUAAAGCAAACUUGUAUAGCUGAUUCCACAAUGGAAGCUGAUCAUUUUACAAAAGCCCUCACGGCUAAAGUGUUUGAGGGUCACCUACACAGUUUAGGUGUACGAUGUUUGUAAACUAGGACAAGUGGGAGACUUAUUGGCCAUGUGCCCUAGUUUCAUAUAUAUUCUCUCACACCACAUCUCUCAUACCACUAGGAAUUUUAGUCCAAGUGGGAGUUUGUUGGAAUUUUUUGUCCUAAAACUCGUAGUUUGUAAAUCAUAUUCUAUUCAAUAAAGUUGUUAUUGAGAAAUUAAAUAUUAUAAUCUUAAAUCCAAUAAAUCAAAGUUCCAAGGCUAUUUUUUGAAUAAACUUGAACUUUAUGUGUAAACAUAAACGUGGAUCAAGUUCGAGUAUAUAGCCUAAAUAGUCUAUAGUAUAUGAAAUAAAGGUUGGGCGCCUUAUUUUGAGAGACUAUGGAUGCGGCCCACUUUGUAGUACAAACGAUGUGAUCCUAAUCGUUCAUGUAGAGACAUGAAAGUGGGGGCAUCCUAUGUAAAAUGUUUACAUAAGACUGAACCAUGAAUUAGUCAUUUUUACGUUAUAACACCGUUUACUGUUUAAAACUGACUAUCUCAAUUAUUGAUGACCUAGGUAACUUAGUCUUAAUCCUGAGUUAACUAUGAACUCCUGUUCAUACGAGAUUAUCCUUAGAUCUGCAUAGGUGAGGGCAACUCAUCAGCGUUGGCCCAAUAAGCCUCCCAUUUCAGGGGUAAGAUCGGGUGGAUAGCUGGGAACAUAGGGUACAAGAUGGAAUUCACUCCUACCCGCUUUAGGGUUAGUAGAUAGGUUGCUCUCUUAAGCACUGAAUCCAAGUCUUGAACAAGGGGCCCCACCCUCUCAUUGGCCCGAGAGGGAUUAAGUUUAUAGGUUGAACCUUAAACCAAUUGUUCAAUAGUGGAUUAGUGGGACUUAAGGAGCAAGAUGUAAUCUUGGGGGUAAAACGGUAUUUUGACCCAGCCAAGGUUACGAGCAACCUGUGAAGGAUUAACUUACUGAUUAUGGUUUUAUCAAAUGGACACAAAUAUAUCUAUAGUGAGGGGAGUGCAACUACGGGACUUUAGUGGAAUGACCCGUUAGUUAACGAAUGUUGAUUAACUCGGUUUAAAAGAGUUUAGCUAGUUAAUCUUGAAUCGUUGGAGCCCAUGAUCUAUAGGUCCAUUAGGUUCCUCUGCUAGCUCAUAUGGAUUAAACUUAGAACAGUGUGAUGAAAUAAGUCGAAUUGUUCGAAUAGGGAGAAGAAAGGAAAACCGACAUAUACAGUGAUAUAAUCGUCGGUCUUCUAAUUAGAAAUAGAGCUUUAUGUUUUACAUACUAUAAGUAUGAAUGCGGAUUCAUACUAAGAAGCUCGGAAUUGGUCAAAAAUAGUAAAAAGUCAAAAUGUUGACUUUUGACUUUGAAAAGUCAAACUUUGACCGGCCUUAUAUUCAAAUGUGAUUUGAAUUUUGGAAAAAAUGAAUGCGGAUUCAUGCUCGGGAGGUUGGAAUUAGUCAAAACGGACAAAAUGGUAAAAAGUCAAAAUAUUGACUUUUGACUUAGAAAAGUCAAAGUUUGACUUUUGACUAGAAAAAUCUAAUGACCAUUUUACCCUUGGACUAAGUUAGUGGGAAAAUCCAACAUUUUGUUGGAUAAUCCCACUAACUCUUAGUGGGAUAUGUGGCUAUAUGAGAUAUAGACACCUAGCCCACUAAGUUCCACUAAUUGUUAGUGGAAUAUUAGGUGUUGAGAUUUGGCAAUUGAAUUGCAUGCAUUUUUGCAUGUAAUUAGGCUAUAAAUAGAGAUGUUUUCAAAUGUUGAAGGACUUUUGCCUCUUUUAUCAUUUUUCAUAAUCUCAACAAAAGAAAAAAGAAAGCUUCCAAUCUCAUUUUAUCUCCAUUACUUUCUACACCAAAAUUGGGUCCCACAACCCGGUUCUUUGUCUAGAGGAUAGCAGUUGAGUACUAGUGGUGGUCUCGGGUAGAAUUGGUAAGAAGACAUCAAACCUUUUAAAAGCUUCAAAGGU
RNAcentral lists this long non-coding RNA (8108 nucleotides) under Cucumis sativus (cucumber). Its description in RNAcentral is "long non-coding RNA (CSAT_LNC000123)". The record is from RNAcentral. Lineage: Eukaryota; Viridiplantae; Streptophyta; Magnoliopsida; Cucurbitales; Cucurbitaceae.